GGAGUCUAGCAUGUGCGCGAGUCAUUGGGACUAACUAAACCUAAAGGCGCAAUGAAAGUGAAGGCGCGCUUUACGCGCGCUGAGGGAGGAUGUGUUCCGCCAAGGCGGCGUUCCGCACUCCCGGGGCGUUUCGUUCUCAUCGCGAGAAGAGGCGCACCCAGAGCGUACACGCUGGGACCCGAAAGAUGGUGAACUAUGCCUGGUCAGGACGAAGUCAGGGGAAACCCUGAUGGAGGUCCGUAGCGAUUCUGACGUGCAAAUCGAUCGUCGGAACUGGGUAUAGGGGCGAAAGACUAAUCGAACCAUCUAGUAGCUGGUUCCCUCCGAAGUUUCCCUCAGGAUAGCUGGUGCUCGUUUAGCGAGUCUCAUCCGGUAAAGCGAAUGAUUAGAGGCAUUGGGGUCGAAACGGCCUCAACCUAUUCUCAAACUUUAAAUGGGUGAGAUCUCCGGCUUGCUUAGACGUUGAAGCCGGUGACUAAAGGAUCAGAGUGCCAAGUGGGCCAUUUUUGGUAAGCAGAACUGGCGCUGUGGGAUGAACCAAACGCAGAGUUAAAGCGCCUAAAUCGACGCUUAUGGGAUACCAUGAAAGGCGUUGGUAACUUAAGACAGCAGGACGGUGGCCAUGGAA
Molecule: ribosomal RNA, 628 nt
Filed under: Tricholimnichus sp. UPOL RK0748
Lineage: Eukaryota; Metazoa; Arthropoda; Insecta; Coleoptera; Limnichidae
Description: eukaryotic LSU rRNA
Rfam family: Eukaryotic large subunit ribosomal RNA
Source: RNAcentral